This 1458-nucleotide long non-coding RNA is filed under the name Bemisia tabaci. RNAcentral's name for it is "lncRNA ENSSSA3NGG001402". Lineage: Eukaryota; Metazoa; Arthropoda; Insecta; Hemiptera; Aleyrodidae. The record is from RNAcentral.
UCUUUACUUGUCGUGGGAUGUGGGUGCCUAUGUUUAGUGUUUCUCGCGUGUGGCGUAAGACUAUCCGGCUCCACUUGUGUUGAGUCGUUACUAGCUGUCUUAUUUCCAGCUGAUGGCACGCUAACUAGAUUUUGGCCUGAGGUUCCGUUUUGGAUAGUAUUAUCGGGCACUCUAUCGAUAGUUACAUUAGAAGGUGUUGUUAUAUUAGCAGGUGCAGCGGCAGUAUCAUUAGGUGCUGCAGCAGUAUUAUUAGGUGCUGCGGCAGCAUUGGCAGGUGCUGCGGCAGCACUGGCAGGUGCUGCGGCAGCAUUGGCAGGUGCUGCGGCAGCACUGGCAGGUGCUGCGGCAGCAUUGGCAGGUGCUGCGGCAGCAUUGGCAGGUGCUGCGGCAGUAUUGGCAGGUGCUGCGGCAGCAACAGCAGGUUGCGGUGCUAAAACUGACAUAAUUCCCAUUAGAAGCGCUUCUUCUUGGUUCAUUACUGAUCCCGGCCCUGGUGGUGAAGGUGCUACAGCAGGUGCUCUAUCAGGUGUUUCGGCAGGUGCUGGGAGUGCUACAGUAGGUAAUGCAGGCGUUUCAGUAGCUGGCGCUGCAGCAGGUGUUCCAGCAGCAGAUCCGUUAGCAGGUGCUGGAGGUGCUACAUCAGGUAAUGCAGGCUUUCCAGCAACUGGCGCUGCAGCAGGUGGUUUAUCAGGUGCUACAGCAGGUGUUCCAGCAGCAGAUCCGUUAGCAGGUGCCGGAGGUGCUAAAUUAGGUAAUGGAGGAUUUUCAUCAUCUGGCGCUACAGCAGGUGCUUUCACAGGUGUUCCGGCAGUUGUUCCAGCAGGUGAUCCAGCAGGUGCUGGAGGUACUACCUCAGGUAUUGCAGCAGGUGUUCCAGCAGCAGAUCCGUUAGCAAGAGCUAGAGGUGCUACAUCAGGUAAUGCAGGCUUUCCAGCAACUGGCGCUGCAGCAGGUGGUUUAUCAGGUGCUACAGCAGGUGUUCCAGCAGCAGAUCCGUUAGCAAGAGCUAGAGGUGCUACAUCAGGUAAUGCAGGCUUUCCAGCAACUGGCGCUGCAGCAGGUGGUUUAUCAGGUGCUACAGCAGGUGUUCCAGCAGCAGAUCCGUUAGCAGGUGCCGGAGGUGCUAAAUUAGGUAAUGGAGGAUUUUCAUCAUCUGGCGCUACAGCAGGUGCUUUCACAGGUGUUCCGGCAGUUGUUUCAGCAGGUGUUCCGGCAGGUGAUCCAGCAGGUGCUCCAGUAGGUGCUGGGGGUGUGCCUGCAGCAGGUGGCGCACCAGCAAUUUGCGGUCCAACAGGUGCUACGUUAGGUAUUGCAACCGGUGUAGGGACUUUGAGUGAAUCAUUUUGUGCCGCUUCCAAGAUCAUUUUUCCGGCGGUAACCAUUGCAUCUUCCAUUGCAGUAUUGGCAUGGCAUAGGGAUGCGAACCAUAAAGUGACACCAGCCGUAACAACUAGGUAA